Molecule: ribosomal RNA, 465 nt
Filed under: Vreelandella stevensii
Lineage: Bacteria; Pseudomonadati; Pseudomonadota; Gammaproteobacteria; Oceanospirillales; Halomonadaceae
Description: partial 16S ribosomal RNA
Rfam family: Bacterial small subunit ribosomal RNA
Source: RNAcentral
CCUACGGGGUGCUGCAGUGGGGAAUAUUGGACAAUGGGCGAAAGCCUGAUCCAGCCAUGCCGCGUGUGUGAAGAAGGCCUUCGGGUUGUAAAGCACUUUCAGUGGGGAAGAAAGCCUUGGGGCUAAUACCCUCGAGGAAGGACAUCACCCACAGAAGAAGCACCGGCUAACUCCGUGCCAGCAGCCGCGGUAAUACGGAGGGUGCGAGCGUUAAUCGGAAUUACUGGGCGUAAAGCGCGUGUAGGCGGUCUGAUAAGCCGGUUGUGAAAGCCCCGGGCUCAACCUGGGAACGGCAUCCGGAACUGUCAGGCUAGAGUGCAGGAGAGGAAGGUAGAAUUCCCGGUGUAGCGGUGAAAUGCGUAGAGAUCGGGAGGAAUACCAGUGGCGAAGGCGGCCUUCUGGACUGACACUGACGCUGAGGUGCGAAAGCGUGGGUAGCAAACAGGAUUAGAUGCCCCUGUAGUC